Molecule: microRNA precursor, 94 nt
Organism: Vigna angularis (adzuki bean)
Lineage: Eukaryota; Viridiplantae; Streptophyta; Magnoliopsida; Fabales; Fabaceae
Rfam family: MIR394 microRNA precursor family
Source: Rfam
GUUCCAUAGACAUUUUGGCAUUCUGUCCACCUCCGUUAUAAUGUCUACAAACAUGAUUUUGGAGGUGGUCAGCAUGCCAAACGGGCUCUGUGUA